GCCAGCACGGUUGGGCAUGCCUGUAGUCCCAGCUAUUCACAAGGCUGAGGUGGGAGGAUCAAUUGAGCCCAGGAGUUCUGGGCUGUAGUGCGCUAAUGCCGAUUGGGUGUCUGCACUAAGUUGGGCAUCAAUAUGGUGGCCUCCCAGGAGUGGGAGACCACCAGGUUGCCUAAGGAGGGGUGAACCUGCCCAGGUUGGAAACAGAGCAGGUCAAACUCCCAUGCUGUUCAUUGUGGGAUUGCACCUGUGAAUAGCCACUGCACUCCAGCCUGGGCGACAUAGCAAGACCCCAUCUCU
Molecule: signal recognition particle RNA, 297 nt
Filed under: Saimiri boliviensis boliviensis (Bolivian squirrel monkey)
Lineage: Eukaryota; Metazoa; Chordata; Mammalia; Primates; Cebidae
Description: Metazoan signal recognition particle RNA (ENSSBOG00000004235.1)
Rfam family: Metazoan signal recognition particle RNA
About the family: The signal recognition particle (SRP) is a universally conserved ribonucleoprotein. It is involved in the co-translational targeting of proteins to membranes.
Source: RNAcentral